RNAcentral lists this ribosomal RNA (496 nucleotides) under uncultured bacterium. Its description in RNAcentral is "partial 16S ribosomal RNA". It matches the Rfam family "Bacterial small subunit ribosomal RNA", at positions 29 to 507 of the family's 1533-position model. The record is from RNAcentral.
AUGAACGCUGGCGGCGUGCCUAAUACCUGCAAGUCGAGCGAACAGACGAGGAGCUUGCUCCUCUGACGUUAGCGGCGGACGGGUGAGUAACACGUGGAUAACCUACCUAUAAGACUGGGAUAACUUCGGGAAACCGGAGCUAAUACCGGAUAAUAUAUUGAACCGCAUGGUUCAAUAGUGAAAGACGGUUUUGCUGUCACUUAUAGAUGGUUCCGCGCCGCAUUAGCUAGUUGGUAAGGUAACGGCUUACCAAGGCAACGAUGCGUAGCCGACCUGAGAGGGUGAUCGGCCACACUGGAACUGAGACACGGUCCAGACUCCUACGGGAGGCAGCAGUAGGGAAUCUUCCGCAAUGGGCGAAAGCCUGACGGAGCAACGCCGCGUGAGUGAUGAAGGUCUUCGGAUCGUAAAACUCUGUUAUUAGGGAAGAACAAAUGUGUAAGUAACUAUGCACGUCUUGACGGUACCCAAUCAGAAAGCCACGGCUAACUACGUG